UACGGGGGGGGCAAGCGUUGUUCGGAAUUACUGGGCGUAAAGGGCUCGUAGGCGGCCAACUAAGUCAGACGUGAAAUCCCUAGGCUCAACCUAGGAACUGCGUCUGAUACUGGAUGGCUUGAAUCCGGGAGAGGGAUGCAGAAUUCCAGGUGUAGCGGUGAAAUGCGUAGAUAUCUGGAGGAAUACCGGUGGCGAAGGCGGCAUCCUGGACCGGCAUUGACGCUGAGGAGCGAAAGCUAGGG
This 242-nucleotide ribosomal RNA is filed under the name uncultured bacterium. RNAcentral's name for it is "partial 16S ribosomal RNA". It matches the Rfam family "Bacterial small subunit ribosomal RNA", at positions 524 to 765 of the family's 1533-position model. The record is from RNAcentral.